AUGUAUUUAUGCAGCAGCAGUUAAAGACAUUACAGUACAGAUCCAAAGUACACGAUCGGAAUCACAUCAUUCCUGUUAAACACGAGUUGUGCUAUCUCUCAAAACUUCACAUGCUUUUCCUCUUUGAUAAAUCUUUAAUGAAACUCAGCACUAGUGAUGAAUUAUUUCAUCGGUCAAGCUCACGUAUCAUUUUGUAUAAUCCAAUCUCAUGUAGGCAUAUUUAUUUAUUUUUGUGUCUAGCACAUUCUCGUACAAGUAAAAGUGGAUGUUCUUGAAUGGUAACAUAGCAUCUUUUAAUGUAUGAAAUAUACAUAUGUGACAGGGGUCACGAACAUUUAUUUUUUACUGCAUCGGAAAUUAUUAUUUUAUCAGUAGAACUAUGUAUAAACUCACAAGAUGAUGAUGAUGGUCAAUAAUAUUUGUCUGAAAUGACGUUACAUGACGUGAGGCAUGAAUUACUUGAAGAAAUCACACGUAUUGAAUCACAUCUUGGUCUCUCUCUUAUAAAAGGCUGGGAAGAAUUAGAUCCAUCUUGUUGGCUUUCAAAGCAAGUACAAAUUCACCAUUUCAAGUACUCCAUAAACUUCAUUUAAAAUUUCUAAAAUGGCUCACAGUACAAGAAAAUCUUGUGUGUUUGAAGUUACAUUCUUGUGCGUUUUAAUCGUAUGUGCUUCUUGCUCCCCGUUCUUAUCAGCAUGGAGGUCUCACUUGCCAGCACAGUGUGAUGUUAGCAUAGUUUCUCACGCUGGUCAUCCAAUUCAUCCUCCUAAUGUCCACUGCGACAUAAAUUUUACGGAAUGGUUUUUCAAGAAUAGAAAAUGUUCCCAAUCUACGUAUCAUGGGUGUAAAAGUGCCGGUGGAUUUCAUACGGAAGCUGAAUGCAAAGAUGCAUGUAAACCAGACUCUGAAGUUCAUCAUUGGUAUUCGACCUGGACUGACGAUUAAGGAGGAGAAACUUAUGGCUGAUACUUAUUUAAGAUUAGUUUGAAUCCUCAUAUUUAUGUACAAAGUUACAAAUUUCAAUAUAAUGUCGUUCACUAUUGUGUACAACUAAAUACUUUGUUAAAACUAAUACAGUAAGUGCAAAAUGAAGAAGAUAUUGAAAAUAUAUACUAAGAAUAUUUACUAACCCCCUUCAACCUGAAAUAAUAAACGACACAUUUAUUUAGCAAAAUA
Long non-coding RNA from Folsomia candida, 1176 nucleotides. RefSeq lists it as uncharacterized. NCBI's taxonomy places the organism in Eukaryota, Metazoa, Arthropoda, Collembola, Entomobryomorpha, Isotomidae. The transcript has 2 exons. The record is from RefSeq and is a predicted model, not a curated record.